RNAcentral lists this ribosomal RNA (406 nucleotides) under uncultured bacterium. RNAcentral's name for it is "partial 16S ribosomal RNA". It matches the Rfam family "Bacterial small subunit ribosomal RNA", at positions 30 to 526 of the family's 1533-position model. The record is from RNAcentral.
AUUGAACGCUGGCGGCAGGCUUAACACAUGCAAGUCGAACGAGUGGCGGACGGGUGAGUAAUGUCUGGGAAACUGCCUGAUGGAGGGGGAUAACUACUGGAAAAGGUAGCUUAUACCGCCUACCAUACGAUUUGCCCAGAUGGGAUUGGCUAGUAGGGGGGGUAAAGGCUUACCUAGGCGACGAUCCCUAGCUGGUCUGAGAGGAUGACCAGCCACACUGGAACUGUGACACGGUCCAACUCCCUAGGGGAGGCAGCGUGGGGGAAUAUUCGACAAGGGGCGAAAGCCUGAGGCAGCCAUGCCGCUGAUGGGAAGCAGGCCUUGGGGUUGUAAAGUAUUUUCAGCGGGGCGGCGUUACCCGCAGAAGAAGCAACGGCUAACUCCGUGCCAGCCGCCGCGGUAAUUC